AGAGUUGAUCAUGGCUCAGGACGAACGCUGGCGGCGUGCUUAACACAUGCAAGUCGAACGGGGAUAACGGAGAGGAGAGCUUCGGCAGGAAUCGCUGUUAUUCGAGUGGCGGACGGGUGAGUAACGCGUGAGCAACCUGUCCCAGACAGGGGGAUAACACUUGGAAACAGGUGCUAAUACCGCAUAAGACCACGGGAUCGCAUGGUUCUGGGGUAAAAGGAGAAAUCCGGUUUGGGGUGGGCUCGCGUCCGAUUAGCCAGUUGGCGGGGUAACGGCCCACCAAAGCGACGAUCGGUAGCCGACCUGAGAGGGUGAUCGGCCACAUUGGAACUGAGAGACGGUCCAAACUCCUACGGGAGGCAGCAGUGGGGAAUAUUGGGCAAUGGGCGAAAGCCUGACCCAAGCAACGCCGCGUGAGUGAAGAAGGCCUUCGGGUUGUAAAGCUCUGUUAUAGUUGACGAAGUGCGUGACGGUAGGCUAUAAGGAAGCCCCGGCUAACUACGUGCCAGCCGCUGC
RNAcentral lists this ribosomal RNA (516 nucleotides) under uncultured bacterium. Its description in RNAcentral is "bacterial SSU rRNA". It matches the Rfam family "Bacterial small subunit ribosomal RNA", at positions 8 to 518 of the family's 1533-position model. The record is from RNAcentral.